UACGGAGGGUGCAAGCGUUAUCCGGAUUUACUGGGUUUAAAGGGUGUGUAGGCGGGCUAUUAAGUCAGUGGUGAAAUCUCCGGGCUCAACCCGGAAACUGCCAUUGAUACUAUUAGUCUUGAAUUUUUGUUGAGGUAGGCGGAAUAAGUCAUGUAGCGGUGAAAUGCAUAGAUAUGACUUAGAACACCAAUUGCGAAGGCAGCUUACUAAGCAAAUAUUGACGCUGAGGCACGAAAAGCGUGGGGGAUCAAACAGG
This 256-nucleotide ribosomal RNA is filed under the name uncultured bacterium. RNAcentral's name for it is "partial 16S ribosomal RNA". It matches the Rfam family "Bacterial small subunit ribosomal RNA", at positions 524 to 776 of the family's 1533-position model. The record is from RNAcentral.